This 522-nucleotide ribosomal RNA is filed under the name uncultured bacterium. Its description in RNAcentral is "bacterial SSU rRNA". It matches the Rfam family "Bacterial small subunit ribosomal RNA", at positions 8 to 526 of the family's 1533-position model. The record is from RNAcentral.
AGAGUUUGAUCAUGGCUCAGAUUGAACGCUGGCGGAAUGCUUUACACAUGCAAGUCGAGCGGCAGCGCGGGGCAACCUGGCGGCGAGCGGCGAACGGGUGAGUAAUGCAUCGGAACAUGUCCAAGUCGUGGGGGAUAGCCCGGCGAAAGCCGGAUUAAUACCGCAUGUGCCCUUCGGGGGAAAGCGGGGGACCGCAAGGCCUCGCGCGAUUGGGUUGGCCGAUGUCCGAUUAGCUAGUUGGUGAGGUAAAGGCUCACCAAGGCGAUGAUCGGUAGCUGGUCUGAGAGGAUGAUCAGCCACACUGGGACUGAGACACGGCCCAGACUCCUACGGGAGGCAGCAGUGGGGAAUUUUGGACAAUGGGGGAAACCCUGAUCCAGCCAUCCCGCGUGAGUGAAGAAGGCCUUCGGGUUGUAAAGCUCUUUUGUCCGGAACGAAACGGGUAGCGUGAAUAUCGCUGCCUACUGACGGUACCGGAAGAAUAAGCACCGGCUAACUACGUGCCAGCAGCCGCGGUAAUAC